UACAGAGGGGGCAAGCGUUGUUCGGAAUUAUUGGGCGUAAAGGGCGCGUAGGCGGUGCGGUAAGUCACUUGUGAAAUCUCUGGGCUCAACUCAGAGUCUGCAGGCGAAACUGCCGUGCUUGGGUGUGGGAGAGGUAUGUGGAAUUCCCGGUGUAGCGGUGAAAUGCGUAGAUAUCGGAAGGAACGCCGGUGGCGAAAGCGACGUGCUGGACACCUUCUGACGCUGAGGCGCGAAAGCCAGGGGAGCAAACGGG
This 253-nucleotide ribosomal RNA is filed under the name uncultured prokaryote. RNAcentral's name for it is "partial 16S ribosomal RNA". It matches the Rfam family "Bacterial small subunit ribosomal RNA", at positions 524 to 776 of the family's 1533-position model. The record is from RNAcentral.